RNAcentral lists this ribosomal RNA (367 nucleotides) under uncultured bacterium. Its description in RNAcentral is "partial 16S ribosomal RNA". It matches the Rfam family "Bacterial small subunit ribosomal RNA", at positions 338 to 723 of the family's 1533-position model. The record is from RNAcentral.
CCUACGGGAGGCUGCAGUGGGGAAUAUUGCACAAUGGGCGAAAGCCUGAUGCAGCAACGCCGCGUGAGCGAUGAAGGCCUUCGGGUCGUAAAGCUCUGUCCUCAAGGAAGAUAAUGACGGUACUUGAGGAGGAAGCCCCGGCUAACUACGUGCCAGCAGCCGCGGUAAUACGUAGGGGGCUAGCGUUAUCCGGAAUUACUGGGCGUAAAGGGUGCGUAGGUGGUUUCUUAAGUCAGAGGUGAAAGGCUACGGCUCAACCGUAGUAAGCCUUUGAAACUGGGAAACUUGAGUGCAGGAGAGGAGAGGGGAAUUCCGAGGGUAGUGGUGAAUGGGGUAGAUAGUAGGAGGAAGAGCAGUGGCGAAGGCG